This 2903-nucleotide ribosomal RNA is filed under the name Yersinia pestis. RNAcentral describes it as "bacterial LSU rRNA". It matches the Rfam family "Bacterial large subunit ribosomal RNA". The record is from RNAcentral. Lineage: Bacteria; Pseudomonadati; Pseudomonadota; Gammaproteobacteria; Enterobacterales; Yersiniaceae.
UAAGCGACUAAGCGUACACGGUGGAUGCCUAGGCAGUCAGAGGCGAUGAAGGGCGUGCUAAUCUGCGAAAAGCGUCGGUAAGCUGAUAUGAAGCGUUAUAACCGACGAUACCCGAAUGGGGAAACCCAGUGCAAUACGUUGCACUAUCGUUAGAUGAAUACAUAGUCUAACGAGGCGAACCGGGGGAACUGAAACAUCUAAGUACCCCGAGGAAAAGAAAUCAACCGAGAUUCCCCCAGUAGCGGCGAGCGAACGGGGAGGAGCCCAGAGUCUGAAUCAGUUUGUGUGUUAGUGGAAGCGUCUGGAAAGUCGCACGGUACAGGGUGAUAGUCCCGUACACCAAAAUGCACAGGCUGUGAACUCGAUGAGUAGGGCGGGACACGUGACAUCCUGUCUGAAUAUGGGGGGACCAUCCUCCAAGGCUAAAUACUCCUGACUGACCGAUAGUGAACCAGUACCGUGAGGGAAAGGCGAAAAGAACCCCGGCGAGGGGAGUGAAAUAGAACCUGAAACCGUGUACGUACAAGCAGUGGGAGCACCUUCGUGGUGUGACUGCGUACCUUUUGUAUAAUGGGUCAGCGACUUAUAUUUUGUAGCAAGGUUAACCGAAUAGGGGAGCCGUAGGGAAACCGAGUCUUAACUGGGCGUCUAGUUGCAAGGUAUAGACCCGAAACCCGGUGAUCUAGCCAUGGGCAGGUUGAAGGUUGGGUAACACUAACUGGAGGACCGAACCGACUAAUGUUGAAAAAUUAGCGGAUGACUUGUGGCUGGGGGUGAAAGGCCAAUCAAACCGGGAGAUAGCUGGUUCUCCCCGAAAGCUAUUUAGGUAGCGCCUCGUGAACUCAUCUUCGGGGGUAGAGCACUGUUUCGGCUAGGGGGCCAUCCCGGCUUACCAAACCGAUGCAAACUCCGAAUACCGAAGAAUGUUAUCACGGGAGACACACGGCGGGUGCUAACGUCCGUCGUGAAGAGGGAAACAACCCAGACCGCCAGCUAAGGUCCCAAAGUCAUGGUUAAGUGGGAAACGAUGUGGGAAGGCACAGACAGCCAGGAUGUUGGCUUAGAAGCAGCCAUCAUUUAAAGAAAGCGUAAUAGCUCACUGGUCGAGUCGGCCUGCGCGGAAGAUGUAACGGGGCUAAACCAUGCACCGAAGCUGCGGCAGCGACACUUAGGUGUUGUUGGGUAGGGGAGCGUUCUGUAAGCCGUUGAAGGUGACCUGUGAGGGUUGCUGGAGGUAUCAGAAGUGCGAAUGCUGACAUAAGUAACGAUAAUGCGGGUGAAAAACCCGCACGCCGGAAGACCAAGGGUUCCUGUCCAACGUUAAUCGGGGCAGGGUGAGUCGACCCCUAAGGCGAGGCUGAAAAGCGUAGUCGAUGGGAAACAGGUUAAUAUUCCUGUACUUGGUGUUACUGCGAAGGGGGGACGGAGAAGGCUAGGCUGGCCGGGCGACGGUUGUCCCGGUUUAAGCGUGUAGGGGGAGUGACCAGGUAAAUCCGGUUGCUUAUCAACCCUGAGGCGUGAUGACGAUGCACCACGGUGCAGAAGCAGUUGAUGCCAUGCUUCCAGGAAAAGCCUCUAAGCAUCAGGUAACAUUAAAUCGUACCCCAAACCGACACAGGUGGUCAGGUAGAGAAUACUCAGGCGCUUGAGAGAACUCGGGUGAAGGAACUAGGCAAAAUGGUGCCGUAACUUCGGGAGAAGGCACGCUGGCGUUAGGUGAAAGGACUAGCUCCUGGAGCUGAAGCCAGUCGCAGAUACCAGCUGGCUGCAACUGUUUAAUAAAAACACAGCACUGUGCAAACACGAAAGUGGACGUAUACAGUGUGACGCCUGCCCGGUGCUGGAAGGUUAAUUGAUGGGGUCAGCCGCAAGGCGAAGCUCUUGAUCGAAGCCCCAGUAAACGGCGGCCGUAACUAUAACGGUCCUAAGGUAGCGAAAUUCCUUGUCGGGUAAGUUCCGACCUGCACGAAUGGCGUAAUGAUGGCCAGGCUGUCUCCACCCGAGACUCAGUGAAAUUGAACUCGCUGUGAAGAUGCAGUGUACCCGCGGCAAGACGGAAAGACCCCGUGAACCUUUACUAUAGCUUGACACUGAACAUUGAGCCUUGAUGUGUAGGAUAGGUGGGAGGCCUUGAAGUGUGGACGCCAGUCUGCAUGGAGCCAACCUUGAAAUACCACCCUUUAAUGUUUGAUGUUCUAACUCGGCCCCAUGAUCUGGGGUGAGGACAGUGUCUGGUGGGUAGUUUGACUGGGGCGGUCUCCUCCCAAAGAGUAACGGAGGAGCACGAAGGUUAGCUAAUCACGGUCGGACAUCGUGAGGUUAGUGCAAAGGCAUAAGCUAGCUUGACUGCGAGAGUGACGGCUCGAGCAGGUACGAAAGUAGGUCUUAGUGAUCCGGUGGUUCUGAAUGGAAGGGCCAUCGCUCAACGGAUAAAAGGUACUCCGGGGAUAACAGGCUGAUACCGCCCAAGAGUUCAUAUCGACGGCGGUGUUUGGCACCUCGAUGUCGGCUCAUCACAUCCUGGGGCUGAAGUAGGUCCCAAGGGUAUGGCUGUUCGCCAUUUAAAGUGGUACGCGAGCUGGGUUUAGAACGUCGUGAGACAGUUCGGUCCCUAUCUGCCGUGGGCGUUGGAAGAUUGAGAGGGGCUGCUCCUAGUACGAGAGGACCGGAGUGGACGAAUCACUGGUGUUCGGGUUGUCAUGCCAAUGGCAUUGCCCGGUAGCUAAAUUCGGAAGAGAUAACCGCUGAAAGCAUCUAAGCGGGAAACUUGCCUCGAGAUGAGUCUUCCCUGGGGCUUAAAGCCCCCUGAAGGAACGUUAAAGACUAUGACGUUGAUAGGCUGGGUGUGUAAGUGCAGCGAUGUAUUGAGCUAACCAGUACUAAUGAUCCGUGAGGCUUAACCU